Long non-coding RNA from Macadamia integrifolia, 490 nucleotides. RefSeq lists it as uncharacterized. The record is from RefSeq and is a predicted model, not a curated record. The transcript has 2 exons. NCBI's taxonomy places the organism in Eukaryota, Viridiplantae, Streptophyta, Magnoliopsida, Proteales, Proteaceae.
GUUUUCUCAUUUCAUACUCCAAAAGUCCAGUGAUCCCCAUCUUCCUACGACCUCGACCAGUGAUGGUGCUAGGGUUCGUGUGACCGCGACGGAGCAGCUAAGAUUUCUUAACCAAGUAGAUCAGCGACAACAGAGCCUCCUACAUUCAAUCUUUCGUUCUUCUUAGGGCUGUUUCACCUCAAUUGUGCAUAUCCAUUCCAACCUGUGUGAUUUCUUCUUCAGAGAGACCAGCAAUUCUUUUUACGGGAAACAUCGACCAGCGACGACGGUCGAGCGACCUUGAUGGACCAGUGACCAAAACUUCUUGCAGCUUGUUGGAACCUAUGAGCAUGCUCUUUCUCAGUUAUCCUCUCAAGCAUCAAAAACACAUAUGCAUCAUUUUCAAGAUAAAUGAUUUCUUCUCUUUCAUUUUGAUGUUAGGAACAAAGUAAUUUUGAUUUGGGGCUGCACUUUUUAGAUCUCAUAAUUUUAAUUUUGUUAUGGCUGAUCA